AAUCAUAUCGCAAUCGUCCUAACUAUAAAUGGUAUUAUCGUGCGCGUGCUCGCGUAUUGAUUUGCGAUAAAUUUGCAGUUCUUGUCAUAUCUCGUUCGAGUUGCUCGCUUAUGAAUCAUUUCGGGAAAGACUGUUUUGAGAUCGUAGACCCAACCAAGUUUUGCGAAACUGUUGAUCACUGUCCUCGUGAAGUUCACUCUCUAAUUACCCAACUUUGCAGCUUUGUAAUCCCACGGAAUGUGAUACUUGAUGAUAAUUGUGCCAACCCUCACCAAAUGCUGCUAUAUCUGUCGGUUGAAGAAAUAGAAAAGAUUGCAACAGAAAAGAAAAUAUGUACAUACCCCUCAUACGAUUUUAUACCCCAAAUAUGAGCAAGAGAAUCCACUACCUAAGAAAUGUUAAAGGAUGUAGUAUAAUAUAUCUAGUAAACGUGAUAUACCAAGCGAACAUCAGAUGUUCUUCCUAAAAGAGGCAUAGUAUCCACGUGGGAAUGAAACAGAAGAAUGGCAUAAAAAUGAUACAAAAUCUAUAAAAAUUAAAACAAGAAUAUAUAUCAAUGUCCUAGUAAAAAUAAAAAGAUUCGAAGAUAUUUGAUGAUUAAUACCUAUCUUCAUUGCCAAACGA
This is a long non-coding RNA of Vespa crabro (European hornet), 624 nucleotides long. RefSeq lists it as uncharacterized. Lineage: Eukaryota; Metazoa; Arthropoda; Insecta; Hymenoptera; Vespidae. The record is from RefSeq and is a predicted model, not a curated record. The transcript has 2 exons.